Sus scrofa (pig) is the source of this 596-nucleotide long non-coding RNA. RefSeq lists it as uncharacterized. The record is from RefSeq and is a predicted model, not a curated record. NCBI's taxonomy places the organism in Eukaryota, Metazoa, Chordata, Mammalia, Artiodactyla, Suidae.
GGGAGAGGAAGAGAGAAAAGUUGGAGAGGGAGGGAAGAAGACUCUAAAAUUAAAAAAAAAAAAAUGGCCUGGCCAACUUUGCUUGUUCUCAUUAACCUUGAUGCUAUACCACGGGAAACAAACAAACCGAAAGGAAAAAAGAAAAGAAGAAAAAAAAUAGGGUGUGUACAAUUCUAGGAAAAAAAAAAAAAAAGUUUCUUCCUUCUGAAAGGUGAGGGUUUAAAUUACUCCCAGGACAGCUGCUCUAUAUACCCAGCACUACCUUCUCAUGGGAAAGCCACCUCGUGUGCCGUGAAAACACAGAGACCACCGGAGGGCAAACAAAACCCGAGGAGGACAAGGAAGUGACCUGAAUUUGGCUUUUUCAGGAACCAUCAUCAAGGCCGAUUACCCUGAUGUUUCAGUGAACGCAUAGCCUUUGAUGCGAAGUACGUCUAAACACGAGUGAGGUCAGUGGUCUUUUCACAACGUGGGCCCCUCUCCUGGCAAAGUUAAGCUCAAAAUUAUUUUGUUGAAUUUUCAAUUUUCAUUAUACUCAUUUGACUUGACUCUGUGCCACUGAAAAUAUAUUAGGAAUAAAUCAGUUGAUUGUUUGA